Molecule: ribosomal RNA, 253 nt
Filed under: uncultured bacterium
Lineage: Bacteria
Description: partial 16S ribosomal RNA
Rfam family: Bacterial small subunit ribosomal RNA
Source: RNAcentral
UACGUAGGGUGCGAGCGUUGUCCGGAAUUACUGGGCGUAAAGCGCGUGUAGGCGGACUCGCAAGUCAGAUGUGAAAUCCCCGGGCUCAACUCGGGAACUGCAUCUGAAACUGCGAGCCUUGAGUACCGGGGAGGGUGGCGGAAUUCCUGGUGUAGAGGUGAAAUUCGUAGAUAUCAGGAGGAACACCGGUGGCGAAGGCGGCCACCUGGACGGUAACUGACGCUGAGACGCGAAGGUCAGGGGAGCAAACGGG